Molecule: long non-coding RNA, 2025 nt
Organism: Mercurialis annua (annual mercury)
Lineage: Eukaryota; Viridiplantae; Streptophyta; Magnoliopsida; Malpighiales; Euphorbiaceae
Exons: 9
Source: RefSeq, a predicted model, not a curated record
ACUAAUAAAUUAAUAAUGGCUAUCACUAACUAUUCUUAAACAUUGAAAUUCCAAUACUGUCGUUUCAUUUCUCUACUUGACACUUGACAGUGUUGUGUGUUGGUCUGACUGUCGUUUCUUUCUCCUCUUAUCAACUCAACUCAGUGAUCCGACUCAGUCGAUGGCACUGUAAAUCCGUAAUUAGAGAGAUAUCUGUCAACAAAGCUUCGUUAUGGUGGGUCCAACUUUAAAAUCUGCACGAAGAACAGAAAUAGCUUCGUGCCGGUGAGACCAAUUAAGGCAAUGUUGUUCUAUUGCAAUAGACGCGCCGUCUUCUUUGACUGACGCCGGUGGAAUCCGACUGGGCUACACAAGCUUGCAGGAAGCUCGUGAAGAGAUGGAAGAUAAAGUAAUUAUAAGGUCUGAUGGUCUUGUUAACGAUUCUCUUUUGUUGGGGUUUUUGAUGGUCAUGGUGGUAUUGCUUCUGUCAAUUUUUGCAGUGCGUUGCAAUUAUCAAUUUGAGAGAAUGAUAUAUCGAGAAGCUUGAUAUUGGAUUAUCUCUUAUUUCAUAUCUGAUCAUUCUAGUCCCAUUGCACAAUCCAUUUGAUGCGUCUAGAUUUCGCAGUAGCAUGAUUGGACAGUUCAGUUUGAGCUGUAAUGUGUGUGGAGGUAUCUCUAUAUUGUCUUCAUCUGUUGUCGGCUCUUCUCCAUUCCCAACUCUCAAUAAAAAUUCACUGAAAGGUAACACCUGUCUGAAAUCACCUCCAAACACCAAUAUUUUUCCUCCAAAUUGGUCAGGACCAUCUACAAAGAAUACACCUUUUCCGUUCGAGUUCAGCCUAUCCAUAAUGACAGUGUAUGCAUAUUUUUGCUCGGUGUUCAACUUUGCGGCUGCAUCAAUGUCUUCUUGAGUAGUACUCUCGGCAUGAUACAUUUGAUGGAUUUGGUCGACUUACGCCUGAGGUAAACAUUAAGAUAUGCAUAAAAUGUAAGUUAAUUAAUCAUAAACUAUAAUAUUUGCAUUUUUUCAUAUACAUAGAUAUGGAUGUUGCGUACCUUUUUUUUCUUGCUGAAUAAUUGUUUUUGCAGACAUGUUAGAUGGGAAAGUGCUGCUGGUUUUGGUCCUUAUUGCUGUUCUAUUGUUCUUUUCAACUGGUUUAACAAUCUUUCGAAUAUCUUGGUGCCAUCCACGUUGUCCUCUUGGAUGAAGUAAUGGGUAUUGUAAUGGAUCAUAACAUCCAAAGAAGUAUUUUACUCUAUAUCUAUGUCCUGAGUGAGCUUGUACGAUAAUCUCUCUAUCCAAUGGAAGAUUUGGAUUGUUUCCUUCUACCCAAAUACCAGCUACGUCUUCUUCUGUAGGGGCAUUAUAUUGUUGUUCUUCUCUUGUAUUUCUCUUUUUAAUCCAUAUAUUGAGUUCGUCAUAUGAACCGUAGUCAUUUAAUUUUCUAAAUACUUUGGAAUAUGGAUUAUCAUCUAGAACUUUUAUAAGGUGGUUUAUGACAUUCUCUGAUAGCUCCACAUGCUUGAUUGUAUUCUUCCUAUUUUGUAGCUCGUUAUUGCAGUCAUAGAAAUAUAGCUGGAAAUAUCUUGGAAUUCCAUCAUUUGGUAUUAAUUCUGGCAAAUCAUGAUAUAUUUGUCCUAAAGCUUUAAAAGUUGAUACUCCGUUUCUGUUUGAUAACAGGUCUCUAUCCAGUUUCACUCCUAAAGAUGUGUAUGCGAACAGGAAGUUUAACCUUUCCAUUUUGGCAGCAAAAGAAUGGUGGCUCAUGCUCGAACCUUUUAGCUUCACAGUACUUGCAAGCUGAUGGAGAACUCGUUGCUUAUGAUAGAUCCGCGACUGAAAUCCAAGGUAAUAGAUUCUUCUAUUAUUUGGAUAAUCCAUUAGAAAGUAUUGUUUUGUUUAGAGAUGAAAAUGAAGUAAAUAAGGCUUCUGAGUUCUGAGAAGCUCGCUUUAUCUGCACAGAUUGUUUAAACUGAUGCAAGAAGUUGCAAAAAUUGAUUAAAUCAUAAUUUGAUCUCAGAGUAAUAUAUAACAAAUGUUUAUUA